AUUGAACGCUGGCGGCAUGCCUUACACAUGCAAGUCGAACGGCAGCACGGGAGCAAUCCUGGUGGCGAGUGGCGAACGGGUGAGUAAUAUAUCGGAACGUGCCCGGUCGUGGGGGAUAACGUAGCGAAAGCUACGCUAAUACCGCAUACGAUCUACGGAUGAAAGCGGGGGAUCGCAAGACCUCGCGCGAUUGGAGCGGCCGAUAUCAGAUUAGGUAGUUGGUGAGGUAAAGGCUCACCAAGCCGACGAUCUGUAGCUGGUCUGAGAGGACGACCAGCCACACUGGGACUGAGACACGGCCCAGACUCCUACGGGAGGCAGCAGUGGGAAUUUUGGACAAAUGGGCGCAAGCCUGAUCCAGCAAUGCCGCGUGCAGGAUGAAGGCCUUC
Molecule: ribosomal RNA, 389 nt
Filed under: uncultured bacterium
Lineage: Bacteria
Description: bacterial SSU rRNA
Rfam family: Bacterial small subunit ribosomal RNA
Source: RNAcentral